GGGUCCAUCGCUCAGUUGGUAGAGCACAAGGCUCUCAACCUUUUGGAAGUGGAUUCA
This 57-nucleotide transfer RNA is filed under the name Triticum aestivum (bread wheat). It matches the Rfam family "tRNA", at positions 1 to 55 of the family's 71-position model. Rfam says of the family: Transfer RNA (tRNA) molecules are approximately 80 nucleotides in length. Their secondary structure includes four short double-helical elements and three loops (D, anti-codon, and T loops). The record is from Rfam by way of RNAcentral. Lineage: Eukaryota; Viridiplantae; Streptophyta; Magnoliopsida; Poales; Poaceae.